RNAcentral lists this ribosomal RNA (2357 nucleotides) under human gut metagenome. RNAcentral's name for it is "bacterial LSU rRNA". It matches the Rfam family "Bacterial large subunit ribosomal RNA", at positions 591 to 2925 of the family's 2925-position model. The record is from RNAcentral.
GGGUGACUGCGUACCUUUUGUAUAAUGGGUCAGCGACUUAUAUUCUGUAGCAAGGUUAACCGUAUAGGGGAGCCGCAGGGAAACCGAGUCUUAACUGGGCGUUAAGUUGCAGGGUAUAGACCCGAAACCCGGUGAUCUAGCCAUGGGCAGGUUGAAGGUUGGGUAACACUAACUGGAGGACCGAACCGACUAAUGUUGAAAAAUUAGCGGAUGACUUGUGGCUGGGGGUGAAAGGCCAAUCAAACCGGGAGAUAGCUGGUUCUCCCCGAAAGCUAUUUAGGUAGCGCCUCGUGAACUCAUCUUCGGGGGUAGAGCACUGUUUCGGCUAGGGGGUCAUCCCGACUUACCAACCCGAUGCAAACUACGAAUACCGAAGAAUGUUAUCACGGGAGACACACGGCGGGUGCUAACGUCCGUCGUGAAGAGGGAAACAACCCAGACCGCCAGCUAAGGUCCCAAAGUCAUGGUUAAGUGGGAAACGAUGUGGGAAGGCCCAGACAGCCAGGAUGUUGGCUUAGAAGCAGCCAUCAUUUAAAGAAAGCGUAAUAGCUCACUGGUCGAGUCGGCCUGCGCGGAAGAUGUAACGGGGCUAAACCAUGCACCGAAGCUGCGGCAGCGACACUAUGUGUUGUUGGGUAGGGGAGCGUUCUGUAAGCCGUUGAAGGUGGCCUGUGAGGGUUGCUGGAGGUAUCAGAAGUGCGAAUGCUGACAUAAGUAACGAUAAUGCGGGUGAAAAACCCGCACGCCGGAAGACCAAGGGUUCCUGUCCAACGUUAAUCGGGGCAGGGUGAGUCGACCCCUAAGGCGAGGCCGAAAGGCGUAGUCGAUGGGAAACAGGUUAAUAUUCCUGUACUCGGUGUUACUGCGAAGGGGGGACGGAGAAGGCUAUGUUGGCCGGGCGACGGUUGUCCCGGUUUAAGCAUGUAGGCGGAUGUUCCAGGUAAAUCCGGAACGUUAUCAACGCUGAGGUGUGAUGACGAGGCACUACGGUGCUGAAGUGACAAAUGCCCUGCUUCCAGGAAAAGCCUCUAAGCAUCAGGUAACAUCAAAUCGUACCCCAAACCGACACAGGUGGUCAGGUAGAGAAUACCAAGGCGCUUGAGAGAACUCGGGUGAAGGAACUAGGCAAAAUGGUGCCGUAACUUCGGGAGAAGGCACGCUGAUGGUAGGUGAAGCGACUUGCUCGUGGAGCUGAAAUCAGUCGAAGAUACCAGCUGGCUGCAACUGUUUAUUAAAAACACAGCACUGUGCAAACACGAAAGUGGACGUAUACGGUGUGACGCCUGCCCGGUGCCGGAAGGUUAAUUGAUGGGGUUAUCCUCACGGAGAAGCUCUUGAUCGAAGCCCCGGUAAACGGCGGCCGUAACUAUAACGGUCCUAAGGUAGCGAAAUUCCUUGUCGGGUAAGUUCCGACCUGCACGAAUGGCGUAAUGAUGGCCAGGCUGUCUCCACCCGAGACUCAGUGAAAUUGAACUCGCUGUGAAGAUGCAGUGUACCCGCGGCAAGACGGAAAGACCCCGUGAACCUUUACUAUAGCUUGACACUGAACACUGGUCCUUGAUGUGUAGGAUAGGUGGGAGGCUUUGAAGUGUGGACGCCAGUCUGCAUGGAGCCAUCCUUGAAAUACCACCCUUUAAUGGCUGGUGUUCUAACGUGGGCCCGUAAUCCGGGUUGCGGACAGUGUCUGGUGGGUAGUUUGACUGGGGCGGUCUCCUCCUAAAGAGUAACGGAGGAGCACGAAGGUCAGCUAAUCCUGGUCGGACAUCAGGAGGUUAGUGCAAUGGCAUAAGCUGGCUUGACUGCGAGCGUGACGGCGCGAGCAGGUGCGAAAGCAGGUCAUAGUGAUCCGGUGGUUCUGAAUGGAAGGGCCAUCGCUCAACGGAUAAAAGGUACUCCGGGGAUAACAGGCUGAUACCGCCCAAGAGUUCAUAUCGACGGCGGUGUUUGGCACCUCGAUGUCGGCUCAUCACAUCCUGGGGCUGAAGUAGGUCCCAAGGGUAUGGCUGUUCGCCAUUUAAAGUGGUACGCGAGCUGGGUUUAGAACGUCGUGAGACAGUUCGGUCCCUAUCUGCCGUGGGCGCUGGAGAAUUGAGGGGGGCUGCUCCUAGUACGAGAGGACCGGAGUGGACGCAUCACUGGUGUUCGGGUUGUCAUGCCAAUGGCAUUGCCCGGUAGCUAAAUGCGGAAGAGAUAAGUGCUGAAAGCAUCUAAGCACGAAACUUGCCCCGAGAUGAGUUCUCCCUGACCCUUUAAGGGUCCUGAAGGAACGUUGAAGACGACGACGUUGAUAGGCCGGGUGUGUAAGCGCAGCGAUGCGUUGAGCUAACCGGUACUAAUGAACCGUGAGGCUUAACCUU